RNAcentral lists this ribosomal RNA (101 nucleotides) under uncultured bacterium. Its description in RNAcentral is "partial 16S ribosomal RNA". It matches the Rfam family "Bacterial small subunit ribosomal RNA", at positions 1384 to 1482 of the family's 1533-position model. The record is from RNAcentral.
UACACACCGCCCGUCACACCAUGGGAGUUGGUUUUACCCAAAGACGGUGCGCUAACCAGCAAUGGAGGCAGCCGGCCACGGUAGGGUCAGCGACUGGGGUG